Molecule: ribosomal RNA, 224 nt
Filed under: uncultured bacterium
Lineage: Bacteria
Description: partial 16S ribosomal RNA
Rfam family: Bacterial small subunit ribosomal RNA
Source: RNAcentral
GAUCAUGGCUCAGGAUGAACGCUAGCUACAGGCUUAACACAUGCAAGUCGAGGGGCGGCAUGGUCUUAGCUUGCUAAGGCCGAUGGCGACCGGCGCACGGGUGAGUAACACGUAUUCAACCUGCCGUCUACUCUUGGACAGCCUUCUGAAAGGAAGAUUAAUACAAGAUGGCAUCAUGAGUCCACAUGUUCACAUGAUUAAAGGUAUUCCGGUAGACGAUGGGG